GCCAGGGCGUGGUGGCGCGCGCCUGUAGUCCCAGCUACUUGGGAGGCUGAGGUGGGAGGAUCGCUUGAGUCCAGGAGUUCUGGGCUGCAGUGCGCUAUGCCGAUCGGGUGUCCGCACCAAGUUCGGUAUCAAUAUGGUGACCUCCCGGGAGCGGGGACCACCAGGUUGCCUAAGGAGAGGAUUAUGGGUAAUGUAGGCAGUACAUCAUAUGCCCAUGGGUGGGGGGGAGGCAGCAAUGGGGCGGUCGCGCUGCUCCCUCACUUGCUCAGGCUUCAGUCAAAGCCUCUUCA
Unclassified non-coding RNA from Cavia aperea (Brazilian guinea pig), 290 nucleotides. It matches the Rfam family "Metazoan signal recognition particle RNA". Rfam says of the family: The signal recognition particle (SRP) is a universally conserved ribonucleoprotein. NCBI's taxonomy places the organism in Eukaryota, Metazoa, Chordata, Mammalia, Rodentia, Caviidae. The record is from Ensembl.